Molecule: ribosomal RNA, 406 nt
Filed under: uncultured bacterium
Lineage: Bacteria
Description: partial 16S ribosomal RNA
Rfam family: Bacterial small subunit ribosomal RNA
Source: RNAcentral
AUUGAACGCUGGCGGCAGGCCUAACACAUGCAAGUCGAGCGAGCGGCGGACGGGUGAGUAAUGUCUGGGAAACUGCCUGAUGGAGGGGGAUAACUAAUGGAAAAGGUAGCUAAUACCGCAUACCAUCAGAUGUGCCCAGAUGGGAUUAGCUAGUAGGUGGGGUAACGGCUCACCCAGGCGACGAUCCCUAGCUGGGCUGAGAGGAUGACCAGCCACACUGCAACUGAGAGACGGUCCAGACUCCUACGGGAGGAAGCAGUGGUGAAUAUUGCACAAUGGGCGCAAGCGUGAUGCAGCCAUGCCGCGUGAGUGAAGAAGGCCUUCGGGUUGUAAAGCACUUUCAGCGGGGAGGCGUUACCCGCAGAAGAAGCACCGGCUAACUCCGUGCCAGCAGCGGCGGUAAUAC